RNAcentral lists this ribosomal RNA (779 nucleotides) under uncultured bacterium. Its description in RNAcentral is "bacterial SSU rRNA". It matches the Rfam family "Bacterial small subunit ribosomal RNA", at positions 94 to 863 of the family's 1533-position model. The record is from RNAcentral.
AGCGGCAGACGGGUGAGUAACACGUAGAUAACCUACCUCUUAGCGGGGGAUAGCUUACCGAAAGGUGAGGUAAUACCGCGUAAGAUAUUUUGAUGGCAUCAUUAAAAUAUGAAACAUCCGCAAGGAUGGCUAGGAGAGGGAUCUGCGGCCUAUCAGCUAGUUGGUGAGGUAAUGGCUCACCAAGGCUACGACGGGUAUCCGACCUGAAAGGGUGACCGGACACACUGACACUGAGACACGGGUCAGACUCCUACGGGAGGCAGCAGUGAGGAAUUUUGGACAAUGGGGGAAACCCUGAUCCAGCGACGCCGCGUGAAGGAUGAAGGUCUUCGGAUUGUAAACUUCUUUUAUUUGGGACUAAGAAAUCUGUGGAAACACGGAGAGUGAAUGCACCAAGUGAAUAAGCCACGGCUAACUUCGUGCCAGCAGCCGCGGUAAUACGAAGGUGGCAAGCGUUACUCGGAAUUACUAGGCGUAAAGGGCAGGUAGGUGGUUUUGUAAGUCUGUUGUGAAAGCUCCUGGCUUAACUGGGAGAGGUCAACGGAUACUGCAGGACUUGAGUAUAGGAGAGGUUACUGGAAUUCCCGGUGUAGCGGUGAAAUGCGCAGAUAUCGGGAGGAACACCAAUGGCGAAAGCAGGUAACUGGACUAUUACUGACACUCAGCUGCGAAAGCUAGGGGAGCAAACAGGAUUAGAUACCCUGGUAGUCCUAGCCGUAAACGAUGCACAUUAGACGUGAGGGGUAUCGACCCCCUUCGUGUCGACGCUAACGCAUUAA